GACGAACGCUGGCGGCGUGCUUAACACAUGCAAGUCGAACGGAAAGGCCCUGCUUUUGUGGGGUGCUCGAGUGGCGAACGGGUGAGUAACACGUGAGUAACCUGCCCUUGACUUUGGGAUAACUUCAGGAAACUGGGGCUAAUACCGGAUAGGAGCUCCUGCUGCAUGGUGGGGGUUGGAAAGUUUCGGCGGGUGGGGAUGGACUCGCGGCUUAUCAGCUUGUUGGUGGGGUAGUGGCUUACCAAGGCUUUGACGGGUAGCCGGCCUGAGAGGGUGACCGGCCACAUUGGGACUGAGAGACGGCCCAGACGCCUACGGGAGGCAGCAGUGGGGAAUAUUGCACAAUGGGCGGAAGCCUGAUGCAGCAACGCCGCGUGCGGGAUGACGGCCUUCGGGUUGUAAACCGCUUUCGCCUGUGACGAAGCGUGAGUGACGGUAAUGGGUGAAGAAGCACCGGCUAACUACGUG
This 468-nucleotide ribosomal RNA is filed under the name uncultured bacterium. RNAcentral's name for it is "partial 16S ribosomal RNA". It matches the Rfam family "Bacterial small subunit ribosomal RNA", at positions 28 to 507 of the family's 1533-position model. The record is from RNAcentral.